CGCGUAGGCGGCCUGGUAAGUCAGAUGUGAAAGCCCGGGGCUCAACCCCGGAAGUGCAUUUGAUACUGCCAGGCUUGAGUAUGGGAGAGGGAAGUGGAAUUCCUGGUGUAGAGGUGAAAUUCGUAGAUAUCAGGAGGAACACCGGUGGCGAAGGCGACUUCCUGGACCAAUACUGACGCUGAGGCGCGAAGGCGUGGGGAGCAAACA
RNAcentral lists this ribosomal RNA (207 nucleotides) under uncultured delta proteobacterium. RNAcentral's name for it is "partial 16S ribosomal RNA". It matches the Rfam family "Bacterial small subunit ribosomal RNA", at positions 568 to 774 of the family's 1533-position model. The record is from RNAcentral. Lineage: Bacteria; Deltaproteobacteria.